This 253-nucleotide ribosomal RNA is filed under the name uncultured bacterium. Its description in RNAcentral is "partial 16S ribosomal RNA". It matches the Rfam family "Bacterial small subunit ribosomal RNA", at positions 524 to 776 of the family's 1533-position model. The record is from RNAcentral.
UACGGAGGGCGCAAGCGUUGUUCGGAAUUACUGGGCGUAAAGCGCGUGUAGGCGGCCGGGUAAGUCGGAUGUGAAAGCCCGGGGCCCAACCCCGGAACUGCACCCGAUACUGCCCGGCUGGAGUCCCGGAGAGGAUGGCGGAAUUUCCGGUGUAGAGGUGAAAUUCGUAGAGAUCGGAAGGAACACCAGUGGCGAAGGCGGCCAUCUGGACGGUGACUGACGAUGAGACGCGAAAGAGUGGGGAGCAAACAGG